RNAcentral lists this long non-coding RNA (1501 nucleotides) under Homo sapiens (human). RNAcentral describes it as "novel transcript". Lineage: Eukaryota; Metazoa; Chordata; Mammalia; Primates; Hominidae. The record is from RNAcentral.
GGCUCCGGGGCUGUGCCCAGCGCGAGCGUGGCCGGCACCCACUUGCUGCAGAGCCGGCACUGCACUGGGGUUCUUGGGGGCGGCUCCUCCAGACGUCUCUGCGGGUUGUCGGGUGCUGCCGAGUUGGGUUGGGGGACGCUACAGGUAGUGGGUCCGGAGCAGCGGCUGGCCCCUCAUCUCACUGCCCUUCCUCGGACCCCACCGUCCUCUGGAAGCUUGUGCAGGGCACCUGCCACUGUGACCACCUGGACGCAGAUACCUGCUUUCCCACAACAGCAAGGAAGAACCAUGGCCCAGCAGAUAUUAUGCCAAAGCAGCCGUCUGUGAUUCUGGUUGUUUGGGGAUGCCGAACACUCAGGUCUACAGAGACAGCCUUGUGUGGUGCCAAGUGACCUGGAUGUAACACUGCAUUAUCUAGAGGAACGAAUGAAUGAACUGCGUGUUCUUGAAACAGCCUGCCAUGUGUACCGCCACACCACCCUGAACGUGCCUGAUCUUGUCUGAAAUUGCUUGCCAUAAUGGGUUUUAUUUUUUUAAUUAAAAAAUUUUUUUGAGAUGGAGUCUUGCUCUGUCGCCCAGGCUGGAGUGCAGUGGCACUAUCUUGGUUCACUGCAAUCUCUGCCUCCCGGGUUCAAGUGAUUCUCCUGCCUCAGCCUCCGGAGUAGCUGGGAAUAUAGGCAUGUGCCACCAUGCCCGACUAAUUUUUGUAUUUUUAGAGAUGGAGUUUCAUCAUAUUAGCCAAGCUGGUCUCGAACUCCUGACCUCAGGUGAUCCGCCCACUUGGCUGUUAGCUCUCUUUGCAUGUGAGUGACAUCAGUGUUUUCCAUCAGCCUGGAAGCAUUCUCCUCCUCCUGCUCUGAACCCCGGGUUCUAGGAAUGUGGGUCACUGUCAUUCGGGGACGUGGCUGUGGGCUUCACCCGGAAAGAGUGGCAGCAGCUGGACCUGGAGCAGAGGACCCUGUACCAGGAUGUGAUGCUGGAGAACUACAGCCACCUGCUCUCUGUGGGCUGAACUGUCUGCUUGCUUGGAAGGCCCAGCUGGCUCAGCACAAAUCCUUUAACCGUUUCUCCCCAAGAGGGUGUCAAGUCAGCAAACCAGCUGUGAUCUCCAGUUUGGAGCAGGGGAAGGAGCCAUGGAUGGAGGAGGAAGAGAUAAGGACGUGGAGCUUCCCAGAAAGCUGACUUCAUGAGACCGAGGAUCUCGUUCGUUGAUCGAUGCUACAUAUUCAGCAUGUUAGAUAAUGAGGUUGGUGAGAUUGAUGAAAUCCCGCCCACCAGGGCCGACCCACAAAGAGCCACUUUAUGAAGAACAUGCUCCUGAACUCCACUCCACAACCAGCUUUUGAAAAGAAAAAUCUGAAAAAAUUUGACCUCAGUUAAACUGGUCCAAAUGCCUGAGCAUAACCAAAAUCUUUCCUCAUUCACUCUUCACGUGGACCGUGUUUAAUUUGGUUGCUGGUGAUCAUAUUUGUUUUAGUAAAGGCUGUCACUCUAUCUUGGG